AACGAACGCUGGCGGCAUGCCUAACACAUGCAAGUCGAACGAAGCCUUCGGGCUUAGUGGCGCACGGGUGCGUAACGCGUGGGAAUCUGCCCUUGGGUUCGGAAUAACAGUUAGAAAUGACUGCUAAUACCGGAUGAUGUCUUCGGACCAAAGACUUAUCGCCCAAGGAUGAGCCCGCGUAGGAUUAGGUAGUUGGUGGGGUAAUGGCCCACCAAGCCGACGAUCCUUAGCUGGUCUGAGAGGGUGAUCAGCCACACUGGGACUGAGACACGGCCCAGACUCCUACGGGAGGCAGCAGUGGGGAAUAUUGGACAAUGGGCGAAAGCCUGAUCCAGCAAUGCCGCGUGAGUGAUGAAGGCCUUAGGGUUGUAAAGCUCUUUUACCAGGGAUGAUAAUGACAGUACCUGGAGAAUAAGCUCCGGCUAACUCCGUGCCAGCCGCCGCAGUAA
RNAcentral lists this ribosomal RNA (449 nucleotides) under uncultured bacterium. RNAcentral describes it as "partial 16S ribosomal RNA". It matches the Rfam family "Bacterial small subunit ribosomal RNA", at positions 29 to 523 of the family's 1533-position model. The record is from RNAcentral.